AAGUACGGACCUCCAGAAUGAAUUAAGUACUUAACCUGAGGUACCACUGUAUAUCUAUAUCUAUAUCAUCUAUAUCUAUACAGGGGUACCUUGGGUUAAGAACUUAAUUCAUUCCGAGG
Podarcis lilfordi (Lilford's wall lizard) is the source of this 119-nucleotide non-coding RNA. NCBI's taxonomy places the organism in Eukaryota, Metazoa, Chordata, Lepidosauria, Squamata, Lacertidae. The record is from the annotation of a GenBank genome assembly.